AUUCUGGGGGGGGAAGCCUGUCCUGCUUCUGAAGUAGGGUAUGUUAGGAACCCUGCUUCAUAACAGUUUCCUGUAGCGGGGCCGGGGGAGAACCUUUUGAAUGUUUAAUCUCAAUAGUAUACUGUAAUGAUAAUAUAUGUAGCACCAUUCACGUACAUGGCAAUAUUUACAAGUAAUGAGAAGAAAUGACACUGUCCCAGUGGGCGCACAAUCUGCAAUCGACAUAGGAAGACGACAGGUCUCGUAAGAGCUGUUCAACAGUGGAUCGGUCUGCCAACUGCGGUCGUGAGCUUUCUGUCGCUGGAGGGUUUCUAACAGAGGCUGGAGAACCAUCUGUCAGGGUCCAGGGAUGCUAUCACCGUUUCUUGUACUGAGUAAGGGUUAGACUAGAAGACAUCCAAGAUCCUUUCCAGCUGUAAAAUUCUAUGAUUCUAAGGGGAGGAAAAUGGAAGUAGGGAUAAGCUCGGGAAGAAUAUGCGUCCAUUUCAUAUUCACAUGCUUAAGCUUAGUAUAGUGUGUGUGAGGACUGUCUGGCUAGUCACUUUCCAGGAAAAGAGGCUUGAUGGGGUUGCCUUCUUCCCUAGCCAUGCCAGUGGUGACUCCAGCACUGCUUUUGCUACAUAAUUGUUCCUAAACAUUGCUGACUUGAUGGCAGUUAAAAUCCUAGUAGUAGUAGGGGACUUGACUUUCUCCAUCAUCAAGGUGAAUGACACCUCUGGUGGCUUCUGUGACACAGAUCUGCCCAGAGACAUUGUCAAAAGAGAUCUGAUUGUUCUUACAACGAAAUAGCUGCAGUUCAAAUACAUUCAGUAGCAUUGCUAUCUAAAUAGGCAGUGAGAAGAGCAGAAGCAGAACAAUGACAUGUCCGUGUGCAUGUGCAAUUCUGCUCAAGCCAGCAUGAUGUAGUGGUUAGACUAGGACCGUAGUGGACUAGGACCUGAGAGAUCCGAGUUCAAAUCCCCAUUCAGCCAUGAUACUUGCUGGAUGACUCUGGGCCAGUCACUUCUCUCUCAGCCCAACCUACUUCACAGGGUUGUUGUGAGGAGAAACUUAACUAUGUACACCACUCUGGGCUCCUUGGAGGAAGAGCGGAACAUAAAUCUAAAAUAAAUAAAUAAAUGUAAUAACAUGCAUGUACACUAAGAAUCACAAUACAUCCCUAGAUAUAUUUCAUAUCUAGGAAGAUGGGUGAAGGAGAUGGAGCCUUUAGAACUCUAGUGCACAUGUGCAUGUACUAACAACAUUAUAAGAUGUCAUUUACCCAAAAAGUAAAAUAGGAACAGUGAUUUAUUGGGUAUAGGGGCCAUGGCGAGGGGAAAGCUUUCAAUCUGCAUCCCCCCACCUGUGGCUUUGAUCCUGAUUAGGUUGCCCCAGAAACUGCUAUUGUAAAAAGCAUGUAAGCCCUAAUGAGGGUUUAACAUGACUUGUAGUUUGGCUCUCAGAAAAAGAGACUUUAUGAAAGCUGAAGACCGACAACAGUUUUUAAGAGAGUUGAAGGUGAUAUAAUGAAGUUGUUUUCCAUUGUAUACACAGUUGUCUUACUGCCAUUUAGAGUCAAGUUUUAAGUUUUUGAAGAACCAGGAAAAAAUUACAAAACCAAAUAAUGUGGUUUUCAGGGUCAAAGUUACCUAAGGUAACAGGAACCAUAGGUUCAUGUGCCAAACACUUUGAUUAACUAUCUCAUUACACUGUCCCAAGUAUAUAUCUUCCUCAGGAUACUAGAGUCAAGGAUCAAAUCUUGAACUUUAUGUAAGUUAAUCCUGUAUCUUUCUGCUAAGAUAUAGCAAAACCUAAGAAGCAAUGUGCCAAUCCAUGAAGCUAAGUGUGGGGAUUAGCAAAGGAAGUGAAUUGGUGUGGGGGGGGUGUGUGUGUGUCCUGCACUCACCAACCACCUCCAGCUGAUCUCUGACCAUGGUCACUGCCUGCCUCACCUAGCAGCUUACUAUCCACUGUUUCUUCUUCUCUUCAUUCUCUUCCUACCAGUUCCUGCUGGGUUUUAAGAAGGAAGAGGGAGUAUGGAAGAGGUCUAGAGUGCCUUCUGGAAAAUGUUCUAGGCUAUACUUCCUCUUCCUAAAAAUCCAGCAAGAAGCAGUAGGAGUAGGCCAUGCAAGGGGAUGACACCUUGUUGUCCCACCUCAGGUGCUGACCGGGGUGCUUAGGCUGGUCAUGCUUAGGGGCCCUUCAGGGCUAGGCUACAUGACUGAGAUUUCUGAGCAUGAUGUAUGGAGUUGGAAAAGAGGACUUUCAUGGGCUAAGGCCCUUGGAAACUGCAGGUGCCUCAUCAUGGGCCUUGCCUUUGUCUUCGCCUGUGUGGUUGUGAAUGUUGCUCUGAGAUGUAGGGCUACUGGGUUCUGGUACUGUUAACACUUCCUUUUUCUGUUUGAAAUUGUUGCCAGCAUGAUGGCUAAAAUGUAAAAUUUGCCUUUUGGAGGCCACAUUCACAUUUCCCAGGAUAGGAAUCAAAUCCAUUUCCCCCAUGGAUUUUGCCCUUGCCUAGUGUUCUCUUCUGUGAGCUUGCUGCUAUUUCCCUUUGUCACCUCCCCUUUCCCUUGAAAAUGGUUUGUUUCCCUCCCAGAAUCAAAUACAAGUGUGUUAUUUAAAAAAAUUGCAUGGACACAUUAUUUCCACAGCAGGAUGUAGAUCCUUGCCUUGGGAAGCUGCUUGGUUCUCCAUGCAGACUUGACUUCCUAACAAUUCCACCAUGUUGGCUUGUGCAGAAGAAUUGCUGAGGUCUCUUUCUUACUCCCUGACUGUGCACAAUAUAUGAGCAGGGAUGUGUGUACUGUGUUUGGUGAUGACAUCAUGGGAUUAUUUGGUUGUUGCUGCACAGUGAUUGGUGACCUCUGUGCAUGGGCUAUAGCUAAUAUGACAACUGGGCAAAAAGGUCAAAUGAUGGUAAGAGAGAUAGCACACCCCAACACCAGAUAAGAGACUCAGCAUAUAGGUGUCUAUAUACCAUGCCAGAAGCCUCCAAGCAAAGAUGGGUGAGCUGGAGUGCUUGGUUACUUGGUUACUAAUGAAAACAUAGAUAUAAUGGGCAUAAUGGAAACCUGGUGAAAUGGUGAAAACCAGUGGGACACUGUUAUUCCUAGACAUAAGCUCUACAGGGAGGAGAGGACUGGGGAGGAGUAGCACUGUAUAUUAAAGAAGGGAUAGAUUCCAACAAGCUAGAAAACCUAGGUGGACCUGGAGUCCUCCACAGAAUCAUUAUGGGUGAUAAUACGAGUGCUUAUGAUUGAUUGCAACCUUAGUUAUUUCUCUCUACCUGAGCAAAAAGUGAGACCCCCCCCCUUCUAUUAUUCCUUUCUGUCUCAGCCACUUAAGCAGGGGGUUUGGGAAUAACCAUUUAUCUGCAAAUUUCCCAAUAUAUAUGCAAAACCAGGAAUAACUAAAUCAUGUAGGAAGCAGAAAAAAGAAAAAAUUAGUACUGAUGUCACUUAGGGAGGUAACUAGUGCUAGAAAAUAAAUGUAGGUGAAGUCUUAGCAUAACAAUUCACCUUGCACAUUUUAAUUUAUUUUAUUAUGUUUUCAUCAUAUGGGCAUGAGCCUCCUAUCACCAAGAUUUGUUAAUCCAAAGUUGUUUAUUCAAGAUUGUAGGCACUAGUUACAUUUAUCAAAUGAAGCCUUUUGAGCUACCGUAUCCAUGUACAAGUAUUAGUUUCAUUAAUUUUGCUAUUACUCGAGGAAUUCUUCCCCUGCUGCAAAUUUUUUCAUCUAAAUUCUAUACUUUAUCGCCACUACACAGAAUAUAAUUAAAUCAGAAACUAUCCAGUUACCACAGCAGGGUGUUUUUUUGUUAUUGUUUCAUCUGUACAGUCCGCAUUACAAAACAUAAACAUACAGAAGCUGGUUUUAUGUACAAUGGAUUAAAGUAUGAUCUUUAACCUUUUUCUGAUACCAUGACCUUUAAAUACACACUAGUGUAAUUUGCUGAUACUCGGGCAUGAAUCUGGGGCUUUCUGCCAAAUUUAGCAAAUAAGAGAGUAUGCUUUUGAGUUCUCCAGAAUUCUUCUUCAGGAAGGAUGUUAAAACAACAUCCAGAGGGAACAGAGCAGAGGUAAUAGUUGGGACUAAUUUUAAAAAGGCCGCAGUUUAAGACUUAAAGAAUGCAGGUGGUUUUAUGUGGACGACCAGCAUAAUCCUUUGCAUGUGCAUUUAGAAAUAAAGUAAACAAUAUUCAACAAUAUUCCCUCUAUGCUCAAUAGGCCUUCCUAUUGAAAGUCCCACUAUACAGUAAGUCCCACUUUGUUCAAUAGGCCCUCCCAAGUAAAUGUACAUAGGAUUGAUCCCUUAAUUUAGAGUAGCUUCUGCUAAGUGCAAGACAAGUUUGAGUUUGCAUAGCAGACUACUAAAACAAAAUAACAAAAAUGGAUAAUCUCCCAUAAGAUAAUAAUAAUAAUAGUUAGGAAUAUAGGAAGCUGCUAUAUACCAAAUCAGACCAUUGGUCCAUCUAGCUCCGUAUUGUCUAAACAGAUCUACCUAUUUUCUCAAGCUUUUAACUGUAUUUUUUAAAAAGUUUUUAUCUUUUGAGAUUGUUUUUACUUGUUUUGUGAAUUUUAACGGUUUUAUAUUAAUUAUGUUUUAACUUUGUAUACCACCUAGAGAUUCUGUAUCGGGUGGUAUACACAGACUGGCAGUGGCUUCUCCAAAGCUGCAGGCAGGAAUCUCUCUCAGCCCUAUCUUGGAGAUGCCAGGGAGGGACCUUGGAACCUUCCAUUUUCCAUGAAAAUGAAGGUUGGAAAAUUCAGGACUGACAAAAUGAAAUACUUUUUCACAUAGCGCAUUAUUAAUCUAUGGAAUUCUCUGCCACAGGAUGUGGUGAAGUCCACUAGCUUGGAUGGCUUUAAAAGGGGCUUAGACAAAUUCAUGAAGGACAGUUCUAUCAAUGGCUACUAGUCUGGUGGCUAUAGACCAUCUCCAGCCUCAGAGCAAGAUGUCGCUAAAUAUAAGUUGUAGGGAAAGAACAACAGGAGAGAGGGCAAGCCCUCACCCUCUGCCUGUGGGCUUCUCAGAGACAUCUGGUGGGCCACAAAGUGAAACAGAAUGCUGGACUAGAUAGGUCUUGGACCUGAUACAGCAGGGCUGUUCUUGUGUUCUUAACCUCAGAUGUUCUUCCCAGAGCAGCUCCAUCCCCUAAGGAGAAUAUCUUACAGUGCUCACACAUGUAGUCUCCCAUUCAUAUCCAAGCAAGAUAGACACUGCUUAGCAAAGGAAACAAGUCAUGCUUGCUACCACAAGACCAGCUCAGGAUCUAUCUCCACUGAAAAUUACUUUAAAAGAAAAUUAUUAUAAGAUGAUGUACAGGUGGUAUUUGACACCCAAAAAAUUAGCAUUAAUGUAUAAAAAUGUUCCAAGUAAAUGUUGGAAAUGUGGACAUUGUGAAGGAACUUUUUUUCAUAUGUGGUGGUCUUGCGGGAAGGCAAAGGCCUUUUGGGAUAUGAUAUAUAAUGAGUUGAAGAAAAAAAUUUUAAUGACAUUUCCUAAGAGGCCAGAAUCCUUCCUGCUGGGAAUAACCCAAGGAUCGUUUUCCAGAAGAAAUUUAACAUUUUUUAUGUAUGCAACCACGGCAGCCAGAAUAGUAUAUGCACAGAAAUGGAAGGACAAUGAAAUGCCCUCAAAAGAAGAUUGAUUGAUAAAAAUUUUGGAAUAUGCUGAGAUGGCAAAACUUAUAGUACUGAUAAGGGAUGAAAACUUGGAAUCUUUUAAAGAAGAUUGGAAACCAUUCUUACUAUACUUAAAGAACUAUUUUUCUAAUAUGGACUUUUCAGCAGGGUUUGAAAUUUAGUAAUAAUUAGCAGGUUGGGUAGAGUAAAAUCAAGUUUGCAAUGUGUAGGAUAUAUGUUUUGAAUUACUAUAGCAAUGAUUGACUUGUAUAGUUAAUGAAUCAUGCAGAUUGAUGAGCGGGAAGUCUAUAUUUACUUAAUUAGAUGUAACAGGAUUGUUAAGAUAUUGUAAAAACCAAUAAAAAUUUUAAAAGGGGAAAAGAUCUAUCUCCACUGAAUUGAACACAUGCAUCUCUUGGAAAGCAUAAAGCAGUAAUAAAGAUAAAUGUAGUAAUCUUUACCUUGGUUGACCUGUUUCACCAGGGUAAAGAUUUUAGGUGAUACUCUAAUUUUAGGUGAUACUUGACUUUUCUAAUAAUUUAACUCUAAUAAUUUUAGGUGAUACUCUAAUUAAUUUUAGGUGAUACUCUAGGUAAAGAAUUGGGUAGUUUUGGAGAACUCGAAAACUUGCUUCUUAGAAGCCAGACUCCCCAAAGUCCACUUGAGUCUGACUCAUGUUGCAAGUAGAAACUUGUGUAUUAUAUCUACAUUUAUUCAGGUCACAUUUCUGAGUUACUACUAAUAAGCACUGCAUUGAGUGAUGAGGAUGGGAUCAACAUCAAAACAAUGGAAUAUAUCAUCCAUACAAUUUGCAAAAAGAACACAGAUUAAGCUCACAGGACCAUACUAAAAGAAAAGCUUGCAUAGAUGACUCAUUCAAAUAAAAGCAUUUUACCUUCAUGUAUACCCUCCAAUAUUUCACUAAUGAAAAUAGGGACAUGCCUGUGAACAUGUAAGGUGCAGGACCAACCAAUCUGGGAGCUGUGGUGUAUAAUUUUGACUACAAGCAUGCUACAAAUGGCACGUGUGCAAGUAGAUCACAUUAUUUCAGAUUACCAAAGCUAUGGGCCAUAUUGCCUUAAUAUUGUACAUUCAUUUCACAUGACUGUUGUGAGGACUAUUUUAGCAAAAAGUCUGGGAUGGGGGGAAGAGCUCCAAUUAUACUAGCUUACCUUGGAAGCAAGAAUGGGGUCUCAGUACCAUCUAGAGAUGAUAUAAAAAUCUGGAGUUCCUCUUUUAUGUUGGGCCUCAACCCAGCUUCCUUGGGUUGGCUCAACACAUGGUACCAUAUUGUAGACCAGAGCUGCACAACCUUGGCCCUCCCACAGAUGUUAGACCUUGGGCCAAAGCUGUGCAGCUCGGCUGUAGACUGUACAGAAGAACCUUAUUAUUUGCAGAACAGCUAUUCAUGGUUUGGGGUUUUAAAUUUUUUCCCCUCCACCCUGGAACCUAACCCCACUUUCCCCAUAGGCCUAAUGCCUCGUUACUCACAGUUUCAUCACUCGCAGUAUGGAAACCCAAAAUGGAACGCCAGAAAAGGAAUUGAUCCCCCACAAGUAACGAGAUUUUUGGGCAAAGAGCAAUCUGUGGGAUUGUGCCCCCACCUCCAUCCCUGGCUGUGCAUAGAACUUUUAAUUAUGUGAACCAUACCGGCUCACACAAAUGACUAUGUGAGUUGGCCCCACCCUGUGCAGGAAAAUUGUAUCACCUAUAGAAUCCCCUUUAUGGAACUCAGUGACUGAAGGCAGCUUCACCAUUCAACCUGUCAUAUUAAGAGCGUUCUCUGUCUAUUUUGUUUGCUGAUUCAAUUUCUUAACUAAAAAAGCAUAAUUUUACUAAGUGAUUUGCAUUUUUCUAUCUAAGAACUGAAUUGCUAGAAAAGAAAAAAGUCAUCAGGAAUAUAAAUAUUAACAUUACUGAGAGACAGAAGAACUGUAGAGGCUUUAAGCAGUAUAAUUUAAAUGCACCUCCUGCCAUCUUUUCAAUGGUAACACAACAUGGAAGUGUUUUUUAAUCACUGUGCUCCAGGCUUCCACUUGAAACAUCCAGCUGACAUGCAACUUGAAACAGUUUUGCCAUACAGUCUGUGGAAAGCUUAGAAUUCUUUUUAUUCCAAACAAAACAGAGGAUUAAAGGUGAAAAGAUAUUGUUUGCUUUGAAAAUAAGAGGUCUAAAAUAACUUAAAUGGGUGAUAGUGUGUAUUUAUUUAUAGAGCUUCCAAAUCAUAGAGAGAAAAUUUAGUACCGUACUAAGCGGAAUGAAAAAAGGUUGUUCUUAGGUGUGCUGAUGAAUUCCUUGCCAAGACAUCUGAAAAACAUAGUAAAGGCUGUGAAAGUGCAGAAAAUGAGGCAUGCACUGCUGUUUCUGUCCAUGCUAUGUCACCUAUGCUAUGUCUAUAUACCUGUCACCCAUUCUUUUCUGCCUACCAUUCAUGUGUGUGCCAAACAGGGAAAUAGUACUCUUUGUUAGGGAAAGCAACUAGGAUACUACAUUUCCCUUGGUUUCCCCUACCACCUGGUUAAGAAGUAGAAGACAGCUGUAUGCCUCCCCACCCCAGUACACAAUGGCCACCUUCAGACAUAAUGGCAAACUGCUGGUCCAAUCGACUUGCAGUUUGCCUCCAUUCCCCCAGCACACUCCCAGACAAUUGCAAUCUGCAGUCUGGGAGACUGCAAAGGGGGAGGAACUGGUUGCAUUGGUUUUCUCCAAUACAUGAAGGAAAGCCAUGGCAGCCAAUUGCUUUGCAGAGAGCGGGGAGCUUACAACACUUAACUCCGGUUUGUGCAGCUUGACAUGUUGGAGCCUCCGGAAACUAGGUUUGGUGAGUUCACCUUAAUUCAAACCAAGAGUUCUAUUGGAGGUUUGGGGGAGGAAUUGGAACUGUGGUUGGGUCUGGGAACCACAGUUCCGAUUAUUCAGAUGUCAUGGAGGGCCAACCUGAGGUGGGUUUGCCUCAGGUUUUCCAUGACGUCAAGAGACAGCCAUAUAUUUGUGCUCAAUUUUCGCCUUCUCCAGAGGUUAUGUUCCACAUGCUCAUUGAACAUAAGUAGAGGGAAACAGGAGCAUGCUAUUUAGCCACAGCCUGCACACCAACAUUUGCACUGACCAUAUUCUCCUUAUGUUUUCUCAUUCAGCAUUUGUCUGCAGAAGGCAGAGUAGAAUACGGGGGGAUUUUCCACAUGUGAUUCAGAACCAAAUGCUGCACACAAAGAUGUGUUCAUCAGGCAUGUCCGUGUGGAAGGUUUUCUGGAGACUGCCAGUAUUUCCUGAAGUGCUGAAUCUAAGAAAGGAGGAGCAGCCACACCAUUAGGUGGAGAUGAUCCAUACUGGGGUUGACCAGCUGCCUGUCCUGUAGAGUCAGGAGAUGUGGCGAUCAAGGGAGUCAAAAUGGUCUAAGAAUCAACGCUGAAGAAUCCGCAUGUGGAGAUGGGCAUGAGGAAGUACGGAGGUGGCUGAUGCCCCAAGGCCUAAGAUCCAUUGUACCCUUCUGGCUGGGUGGCAGCAAUUGUGCGAUAUGCAAAGAACCAGAGAGGUGUUGUCCACAUGGUCUGGAGGUAGAGAUGCUUAUUGAGUCGAAUUGAAUGCCAAUAAAACGGAUGGUUUUUGUCGAUUUCAGAUUGGACUUUUUGAAAUUCAAAACAUGAAAUAUCCUUUGCAAUUUCUUAUUAAAAGUUUCAGUGAUGAAAUUAGACAUUU
This is a long non-coding RNA of Hemicordylus capensis (graceful crag lizard), 9299 nucleotides long. RefSeq lists it as uncharacterized. Lineage: Eukaryota; Metazoa; Chordata; Lepidosauria; Squamata; Cordylidae. The record is from RefSeq and is a predicted model, not a curated record. The transcript has 3 exons.